CCUACGGGCGGCUGCAGUGGGGAAUAUUGGACAAUGGGGGGAACCCUGAUCCAGCCAUGCCGCGUGUGUGAAGAAGGCCCUCGGGUUGUAAAGCACUUUCAGUGAGGAAGAACGCCUGGUGGUUAAUACCCAUCAGGAAAGACAUCACUCACAGAAGAAGCACCGGCUAAUUCCGUGCCAGCAGCCGCGGUAAUACGGAGGGUGCGAGCGUUAAUCGGAAUUACUGGGCGUAAAGCGCGCGUAGGUGGCUUGAUAAGCCGGUUGUGAAAGCCCCGGGCUCAACCUGGGAACGGCAUCCGGAACUGUCAAGCUAGAGUGCAGGAGAGGAAGGUAGAAUUCCCGGUGUAGCGGUGAAAUGCGUAGAGAUCGGGAGGAAUACCAGUGGCGAAGGCGGCCUUCUGGACUGACACUGACACUGAGGUGCGAAAGCGUGGGUAGCAAACAGGAUUAGAUACCCCAGUAGUC
RNAcentral lists this ribosomal RNA (465 nucleotides) under Vreelandella stevensii. RNAcentral describes it as "partial 16S ribosomal RNA". It matches the Rfam family "Bacterial small subunit ribosomal RNA", at positions 338 to 795 of the family's 1533-position model. The record is from RNAcentral. Lineage: Bacteria; Pseudomonadati; Pseudomonadota; Gammaproteobacteria; Oceanospirillales; Halomonadaceae.